CCUACGGGUGGCAGCAGUGAGGAAUAUUGGUCAAUGGCCGGAAGGCUGAACCAGCCAAGCCGCGUGAGGGAGGAAGGCGCAGAGCGUCGCAGACCUCUUUUGCCGGGGGACAAAAGGCCGGACUCGUCCGGUCCUGAGGGUACCCGGCGAAAAAGCAUCGGCUAACUCCGUGCCAGCAGCCGCGGUAAUACGGAGGAUGCGAGCGUUAUCCGGAUUCAUUGGGUUUAAAGGGUGCGCAGGCGGGCCUUUAAGCCGGCGGUGAAAUCGCGGGGCUCAACCCCGCCGAGCCGACGGUACUGGGGGCCUGGAGUGCGGCGGAGGCAUGCGGAAUGCGCGGUGUAGCGGUGAAAUGCAUAGAUAUCGCGCAGAACACCGAUUGCGAAGGCAGCGGGCCGUGCCGCCACUGACGCUGAGGCACGAAAGCGCGGGGAUCGAACAGGAUUAGAUACCCUGGUAGUC
This 459-nucleotide ribosomal RNA is filed under the name uncultured bacterium. RNAcentral describes it as "partial 16S ribosomal RNA". It matches the Rfam family "Bacterial small subunit ribosomal RNA", at positions 338 to 795 of the family's 1533-position model. The record is from RNAcentral.